UCCCUUCGGGGUGACGAGAUGCAGACUUAGUGGCGGACGGGUGAGUAACGCGUGAGUAACCUGCCUUUAGGAGGGGGACAACAGUUGGAAACGACUGCUAAUACCGCAUGAUACAUUUGGGUGGCAUCAUCUGAAUGUCAAAGAUUUAUCGCCUAAAGAUGGACUCGCGUCCGAUUAGCUAGUUGGUGAGGUAACGGCCCACCAAGGCGACGAUCAGUAGCCGGACUGAGAGGUUGAACGGCCACAUUGGGACUGAGAUACGGCCCAGACUCC
This 273-nucleotide ribosomal RNA is filed under the name uncultured Oscillospiraceae bacterium. Its description in RNAcentral is "partial 16S ribosomal RNA". It matches the Rfam family "Bacterial small subunit ribosomal RNA", at positions 75 to 339 of the family's 1533-position model. The record is from RNAcentral. Lineage: Bacteria; Bacillati; Bacillota; Clostridia; Eubacteriales; Oscillospiraceae.